UACGGAGGGCGCGAGCGUUGUCCGGAAUCACUGGGCGUAAAGGGCGCGUAGGCGGCGCGGGCAGCGUGCGGUGAAAGCCCGGGGCUCAACCCCGGGUCGGCCGUGCGAACUCCCGCGCUGGAGCACUGUAGGGGCGGGCGGAAUUCCGGGUGUAGCGGUGGAAUGCGUAGAGAUCCGGAAGAACACCGGUGGCGAAGGCGGCCCGCUGGGCAGUGGCUGACGCUGAGGCGCGACAGCGUGGGGAGCAAACAGG
Molecule: ribosomal RNA, 253 nt
Filed under: uncultured bacterium
Lineage: Bacteria
Description: partial 16S ribosomal RNA
Rfam family: Bacterial small subunit ribosomal RNA
Source: RNAcentral